CGGCGGACGGGUGAGUAAAAGGUAGGAGACCUACCUCAUACAGGGGGAUAGCAUAGAGAAAUCUGUGGUAAUACCCCAUGAGGUUAUAUGAAUAGAGGCAUAUAAUCAAAGUAUACGAGAGUAUGCGGUAUGAGAUGGGCCUACUGACCAUUAGCUAGUUGGUGAGGUAAGGGCUCACCAAGGCGAAGAUGGUUAGGGGUUUUGAGAGAGAGAUCCCCCACAUUGGAACUGAGAUACGGUCCAGACUCCUACGGGAGGCAGCAGUAGGGAAUAUUGGGCAAUGGGCGGAAGCCUGACCCAGCCAUGCCGCGUGAAGGAAGACGGCCUUAUGGGUUGUAAACUUCUUUACUAUACGAAUAGAGGUUAGUACGAGAUACUAAUAGGAAGGUAGUAUAGCAAAAAGCACCGGCUAACUCCGUGCCAGCAGCCGCGGUAAUACGGAGGGUGCAAGCGUUAUUCGGAAUUACUGGGUUUAAA
RNAcentral lists this ribosomal RNA (477 nucleotides) under uncultured bacterium. RNAcentral describes it as "partial 16S ribosomal RNA". It matches the Rfam family "Bacterial small subunit ribosomal RNA", at positions 96 to 564 of the family's 1533-position model. The record is from RNAcentral.